Molecule: long non-coding RNA, 814 nt
Filed under: Dromaius novaehollandiae (emu)
Lineage: Eukaryota; Metazoa; Chordata; Aves; Casuariiformes; Dromaiidae
Description: lncRNA (ENSDNVG00000013046.1)
Source: RNAcentral
GCCAGGACGGAGGGAAGAUCCUGAAAACCUACCCUUCUCUUUCUCAGGGUACUUCAGCUCGCAGCAGACUGCAGCUCUGUGCCUGCCUUGCCUGCCCGGAUCAUUUUGCAACACCACCAGCUGCACCACGUGUCUGGCUUGCCCUGGUGGGAAGGAGGCUCUUCGCGAGGCAUCCGAGGAGUGCACACCUUGCCUCCCAGGUAUGUUCAAAGGUCCCAACGACAACAGAUGCAAGCUGUGCAAGGCAGGAGAAUACCAAUUGCAGCAGGGCAAGGAGAGCUGUGACCUGUGCCCAGAAAAUCACUACUGUCCCAGCCCAGAUGUGAACCCAGUCAAGUGCCCUGCUGAUGCCUUCUGCCCUGCUGGCAGCACCGAGCCUGAGUAUUGCAUGGAGGUGUUUCUUUACAAGUCAGGAGACUCUUGUCACCUGGCCCCUCUGAYGAUCAUCCUCCUGGCCGCUUUCGCAGCAGGUGGGAUCCUUGUCCUCUUUCUGAUAAUUCUGAAGAGAAGGCAAGAAUAUAGGAAGAAAUCUUUGAAGUCUCUGCUGUUACCAAAAGGAUCAGGACAACACACAACGUAUGGUGUGAUGGAGCACACAGAACCAGUGUACGCUGGUUGGUAGCAAGCUGUGAAAUGUUAUCAACAAGCUUUCUGUUCGUUUUUCUGUAUUGGCAAUAUGGAUGUGUGUAUAUGGGCAAAAUGUUAACCACAAUCAACCUAUUUCAACCUCUGUAGCUAAAAUAUUUAAUUAUACUAACCACACAUGCACAGAAAUGCAAAUAAAUCAUUUCACAAUCAGUUGUGACUACUUGUG